RNAcentral lists this ribosomal RNA (463 nucleotides) under Streptococcus mitis. RNAcentral describes it as "bacterial SSU rRNA". It matches the Rfam family "Bacterial small subunit ribosomal RNA", at positions 28 to 477 of the family's 1533-position model. The record is from RNAcentral. Lineage: Bacteria; Bacillati; Bacillota; Bacilli; Lactobacillales; Streptococcaceae.
GACGAACGCGGCGGCGUGCCUAAUACAUGCAAGUAGAACGCUGGAGGAGGAGCUUGCUUCUCUGGAUGAGUUGCGAACGGGUGAGUAACGCGUAGGUAACCUGCCUGGUAGCGGGGGAUAACUAUUGGAAACGAUAGCUAAUACCGCAUAAUAGCAGUUAUUGCAUGAUAACUGUUCGAAAGGUGCAAAUGCAUCACUACCAGAUGGACCUGCGUUGUAUUAGCUAGUUGGUGGGGUAACGGCUCACCAAGGCGACGAUACAUAGCCGACCUGAGAGGGUGAUCGGCCACACUGGGACUGAGACACGGCCCAGACUCCUACGGGAGGCAGCAGUAGGGAAUCUUCGGCAAUGGACGGAAGUCUGACCGAGCAACGCCGCGUGAGUGAAGAAGGUUUUCGGAUCGUAAAGCUCUGUUGCAAGAGAAGAAACGAGUGUGAGAAGUGGAAAAGUUUCACAACUGGG